UCUUUCCCUCUGCCACUCCACC
This 22-nucleotide microRNA is filed under the name Mus musculus (house mouse). RNAcentral describes it as "mmu-miR-7211-5p". Lineage: Eukaryota; Metazoa; Chordata; Mammalia; Rodentia; Muridae. The record is from miRBase by way of RNAcentral.